RNAcentral lists this ribosomal RNA (467 nucleotides) under uncultured bacterium. RNAcentral's name for it is "partial 16S ribosomal RNA". It matches the Rfam family "Bacterial small subunit ribosomal RNA", at positions 29 to 507 of the family's 1533-position model. The record is from RNAcentral.
ACGAACGCUGGCGGCGUGCUUAACACCUGCAAGUCGCACGGAAAGGCCCUGCUUUUGUGGGGUGCUCGAGUGGCGAACGGGUGAGUAACACGUGAGUAACCUGCCCUUGACUUUGGGAUAACUUCAGGAAACUGGGGCUAAUACCGGAUAGGAGCUCCUGCUGCAUGGUGGGGGUUGGAAAGUUUCGGCGGUUGGGGAUGGACUCGCGGCUUAUCAGCUUGUUGGUGGGGUAGUGGCUUACCAAGGCUUUGACGGGUAGCCGGCCUGAGAGGGUGACCGGCCGCAUUGGGACUGAGAUACGGCCCAGACUCCUACGGGAGGCAGCAGUGGGGAAUAUUGCACAAUGGGCGGAAGCCUGAUGCAGCAACGCCGCGUGCGGGAUGACGGCCUUCGGGUUGUAAACCGCUUUCGCCUGUGACGAAGCGUGAGUGACGGUAAUGGGUAAAGAAGCACCGGCUAACUACGUG